Molecule: ribosomal RNA, 484 nt
Filed under: uncultured bacterium
Lineage: Bacteria
Description: partial 16S ribosomal RNA
Rfam family: Bacterial small subunit ribosomal RNA
Source: RNAcentral
GAUGAACGCUGGCGGCGUGCUUAACACAUGCAAGUCGAACGGUGAAGCAGGAGCUUGCUCUUGUGGAUCAGUGGCGAACGGGUGAGUAACACGUGAGCAACCUGCCCCUGACUCUGGGAUAAGCGCUGGAAACGGCGUCUAAUACUGGAUAUGUGAUGUGACCGCAUGGUCUGCAUCUGGAAAGAAUUUGGGUUGGGGAUGGGCUCGCGGCCUAUCAGCUUGUUGGUGAGGUAAUGGCUCACCAAGGCGUCGACGGGUAGCCGGCCUGAGAGGGUGACCGGCCACACUCGGACUGAGACACGGCCCAGACUGAUACGGGAGGCAGCAGUGGGGAAUAUUGCACAAUGGGCGGAAGCCGGAUGCAGCAACGCCGCGUGAGGGAUGACGGCCUUCGGGUUGUAAACCUCUUUUAGCAGGGAAGAAGCGAAAGUGACGGUACCUGCAGAAAAAGCACCGGCUAACUACGUGCCAGCCGCCGCGGUAA